GGUGGCUCAGUGGUAGAGCGCUUGUCUUGCAUGCAUGAGGACCUGGGUUCGAUUCCUCAGCACCA
This is a non-coding RNA of Dipodomys ordii (Ord's kangaroo rat), 65 nucleotides long. NCBI's taxonomy places the organism in Eukaryota, Metazoa, Chordata, Mammalia, Rodentia, Heteromyidae. The record is from Rfam.